GAUGAUCUCCAGCUUGCUGGGGGGAUUAGUGGCGAACGGGUGAGUAACACGUGAGUAACCUGCCCUUAACUCUGGGAUAAGCCUGGGAAACUGGGUCUAAUACCGGAUAUGACUCCUCAUCGCAUGGUGGGGGGUGGAAAGCUUUUUGUGGUUUUGGAUGGACUCGCGGCCUAUCAGCUUGUUGGUGAGGUAAUGGCUUACCAAGGCGACGACGGGUAGCCGGCCUGAGAGGGUGACCGGCCACACUGGGACUGAGACACGGCCCAGACUCCUACGGGAGGCAGCAGUGGGGAAUAUUGCACAAUGGGCGCAAGCCUGAUGCAGCGACGCCGCGUGAGGGAUGACGGCCUUCGGGUUGUAAACCUCUUUCAGUAGGGAAGAAGCGAAAGUGACGGUACCUGCAGAAGAAGCGCCGGCUAACUACGUGCCAGCAGCCGCGGUAAUACGUAGGGCGCAAGCGUUAUCCGGAAUUAUUGGGCGUAAAGAGCUCGUAGGCGGUUUGUCGCGUCUGCCGUGAAAGUCCGGGGCUCAACUCCGGAUCUGCGGUGGGUACGGGCAGACUAGAGUGAUGUAGGGGAGACUGGAAUUCCUGGUGUAGCGGUGAAAUGCGCAGAUAUCAGGAGGAACACCGAUGGCGAAGGCAGGUCUCUGGGCAUUAACUGACGCUGAGGAGCGAAAGCAUGGGGAGCGAACAGGAUUAGAUACCCUGGUAGUCCAUGCCGUAGACGUUGGGCACUAGGUGUGGGGGACAUUCCACGUUUUCCGCGCCGUAGCUAACGCAUUAAGUGCCCCGCCUGGGGAGUACGGCCGCAAGGCUAAAACUCAGAGGAAUUGACGGGGGCCCGCACAAGCGGCGGAGCAUGCGGAUUAAUUCGAUGCAACGCGAAGAACCUUACCAAGGCUUGACAUGGGCCGGAUCGCCGCAGAAAUGUGGUUUCCCCUUUGGGGCCGGUU
Molecule: ribosomal RNA, 954 nt
Filed under: Arthrobacter pascens
Lineage: Bacteria; Bacillati; Actinomycetota; Actinomycetes; Micrococcales; Micrococcaceae
Description: bacterial SSU rRNA
Rfam family: Bacterial small subunit ribosomal RNA
Source: RNAcentral